Non-coding RNA from Anas platyrhynchos (mallard), 1902 nucleotides. The record is from RefSeq and is a predicted model, not a curated record. NCBI's taxonomy places the organism in Eukaryota, Metazoa, Chordata, Aves, Anseriformes, Anatidae.
AGCGGAGGCAGAAGUUACGGUGAUUCCACUGGAGGUGUGGCGCUGGUGGAACUGACAGAACAGAACUACAGCCGUUUGUACGAACUGAAGGAGUCUCCCAAUGAAGAGGAAGAGUGGUCAGGGCUGUGGGAGUCUGCAAAAUGGGGAACACUAAGGUUUGCUGUGCUCUUUCUUGAGGCCUAUGUCAGGAAGUGGUGAAGGUGUCGCCUUUGGAGUCCUGUGUUUCUCCAGCAUCCCCAAACAUGCUCAUUAAUGCUUAGUGAAUGAGGUGAGAAGCACUGGUUGUGUGAGGAGUUACUAGUGAUGGGUUUAGUAUCAUUUCCUGUGGUGACAGCAGAGGACUACACCAAACAAAGCACGAGUUUCUAGCCUGUAAUGCUGGAAAAAAUUAGUUAGGGACUAAGGGUGUGGAAGGCUCAUGGGUAAUGCAUAGACUGGUCAGUGCACACGACGGUCACAAGCUCGAGGGGUAAAUGCGUAAAGUAAUUAAAGCUUAUAUUAAAUUGACAUUUCCUGUGCGGCCGGGAGACCUCGAUCUGCACCCGUUCCCGCUGAGGCAGCCGCGCACCUGCCGCCCCUCGGGACCGGGGAGCAGCGGCAGCCUUCCUUCUCCUCAGGCAGCCCAGCCGCUGCCUGGGCACAGCCACAGCUGAGGGCGGCACCCGGCUCCCACCCUGGGCCCACCGGGCUGGGGAGGGUGCGCCCGGCACCGGCAGGCGGCGGCAGGAGUUGCUGGAAUUAUUACAGCUGAUUUUGCCCCAGGCACGGUUCACUGGGGAGCUGGUACCUGGGGUUCCGCUGAUAUCCCUGUCACUGGCAAGUGAUCUCGGAAUAUUUUUUUUCCUGGGGUUUAUGUGCCAUCUUAUGAAAACAUGUAGAAGUCUUCCAACUUGCUUUAAUGUCCUGGAAGGUUGACCUUAGAAAUAUUCACCCUACCCUGGAGAUGAUGAAUUUGUCACCAAAGUAGUUGUAUUAGGCCAUUUAGCAUCAUGUUGAUCCAGCAGCAAUAAAGCGUUACUUCAUUGAGACUGAUGGAAAUAACGCUUCAAUAGCCAUAAAUCCACCUGCCUGCAUGUUGCAUUAUCCACCUUCUCAAACAUCAGUGAUUCUCAUCAUGGAACUCUUGGAAGAAACUUAGUAUUUGUAAGUCGGUGUUAGCAUCAAUGUGAUUGCACAAAACUAGAUGUUGGCCACAUAAUGGAAGAACCUGGAGAAGUCUGGAAACCGAGGCUGAUAGCUAUAAACAUCUAGAAACUGGUCUGUAACACCCCGACUACGUUCUUCCAACUCAAGUCAGCCGGGUAGCUUGUGUUCAGGUGACCAUAACAGGAGCCAGUUCUGAAGCUGUUUGCUGCAGAGAAGCAUUUUGAACAGAGGAAUGACUUAAGCAGCUGCAUUUCUGUUCUGCUUUCAGCAUCUUUACCAGACUAUAAAACAUUUUUUUUCAAAAUACAUUAAUAUUGUAAAUGCUUUUUCUACAUCGUAUUUUUUCUGGAAACAAUUUUUUUCCUCCAUGUUCAUAGCAUCAGAUAAAUGUAUUAUUUCCUUAUCUGUAGCUGAAUCGCUGUAAAACAGCAUUUUGGUGGAAGAAUGCCUUCACUGCCAUGGGGUUCGAAACAGAUUCACUUUGUUACCCAUUGUUUGCUGCUCAGAAAAUAGCAUAUAGCUGCUGGCCACGGUGCAGGUUUUAUUUUCAGCAUGUUUAGGAUCCUGUUUUCUUAGAGGUUUUAAAAAUUGCACAAAUGAGCAAUGGUAUACAUGUUCAGGAUGAUUUACAUUUAAUCUGUGCAUGUUCAGAGCAGGCUACAAACGGCAAGCGUUGGAGACCUGUUAAAAAUAUGAUUGAGACCAAAAGUACAGCACAGGCAAUUUUUGUUCCAGAGCUUUUGCUGAGCUCUCAUU